UCCAUUACGCUACAGUAGUCACUCUAAUUGAACGUCAAAGAAAAUGGCAGGGUUAAACGACGAAACAGGCAGACGAAGAAAGUCGCCGGAGUUAUUAUUCCGGUGUACAAUUUCCAUUUUUUCCGGCGUCCUCACUCAACUUGCCUUACUUUUCAUCCCUCUUCUUUUCCCUCUAGUCUCUCUCCUACCUCAAUUUCUCUUCUCAGCUUUAGCACUUGCAAUUGCUAUCGUUUUAUGUCAGCAUAUCAAGCGUUUGCUAGGAAUUCGUGCUUCAGCUCCGACUUUUGUUUUGUUCAAUAUAAUCUUUAUUUGGGCGGUUUAUCUUAGCGUCAUUAGUCAAGCUGUUUCAUUGUCGCUAAAUUUUAUAUUCAAUGCGGAGCUAGGAAUCCUUCUUUUUGGGUUUUUAAGGAUUUUAUCAAGUGAUCCUGGUUUUGAUUAUUCUGCCAUUUCAGCAGAGGGUUCUAUUUUAGAAGAUGGUCGUCAUCUGGAGGAAGUAUCAUCUACAGCAGGAGGCAUAAGCUUGCACAUCUCAAGUGAAGAGACUGCAUUAUCUUCAAGGAGGAUGCGCUAUUGUAGGAUAUGCAAAGCCUAUGUUAUGGGAUUUGAUCACCAUUGCGCUGCAUUUGGGAACUGCAUAGGCCAGAAGAAUUAUGGCCUUUUCAUGUCACUUUUGGUUGCUUUUAUAAUCACCGAGGCUUCAUAUGUGGCACUUUCUUAUCAGUGGGUUAACAGAAAUUUGAUUAUGAAAGAGAAUAUCUCCAAGCUUCAAUACAGCUUGCUCAUGAGCACAAUGAACUUUUCUUUGCUUCAAGUGCUUUGGCAGGUUGUAUUCUUUGCAUGGCAUGUAUAUUGUGCGUGCUUCAAUAUAAGAACUGACGAAUGGAUAAAUUGGAGAAGAUACCCAGAGUUCCAUGUCAUUGUUCAGACUUCACCAGAUCAACCUUCACCAGAUAUGAGGUUUAGAAAUCCAUAUAAUAAGGGAAUUUACUGCAACUUGAAGGAUUUCUUGCUAAGAUGACAUCGACGGUCCAUUACUCAACCACUUUGGAUAUUUUUUCAACCCAUUUCUCAUAGCAUUGCAUUUUCACAACUUGGGAGUACUCAGAUUAACGAUCUGCCUGCCUUGAUCCCUUCUCGUGUUCUAGACCUCGCAUCUGCUACUUUUUGGAGCUCCACAGCUUUUCUUGACAGUAUCUAUGCGUAGGCUGUCCGCAGAUUUUAUGCGUCAAGAAGCAUAAAGUUCUUAGAUUUAGUAAUGCUGAGCAUUUUUGCACUUGUCUUCUUUAGGAGAACUCUUUUGCCAAUCAAUACUCAUGACGGGGAACUUGGUUAUGGUAGAACAAUGAAAAGUAGUAAUAAUAAGCCCUAAGAAAUUGCCUAGUUUACAUGUGCCAUGUCCAGUGCCCAUUUUAUCUGACCUUAACCUGCAGCUGAAGUAUACUUUUGUCACCUGUCCUGUCUCUAUCCAUUUGUCACCCAGACUCUCAUACUCUUCAAGUUUCUGACCAACUUUAUAGGGUAUUUGAAAAAUUCCAUAUGGUUUCUCGUGUUUGUUUUUCUUCUUUCCUUACACUUGAUAGCCGUUGCAAGUGCCUGCAACAACAUUCAAUAACCACAUAGUAUAAAACUUGUGGGUAAUAUUUGAUCCUUCAUAUUUCUUCCCCACAUCCUAUCAUCUCAGAGACUAAUAAACUAAAGAUAGGUGCUUGAUAGUUGAUAGAGCCCUAGUUGCCUUGCAGUUGAUUGUGAUAUAAUUACAGUAGUCAGCAGUUUGUGAUCAUUGUACUUAAUCUUGCGUAUCAGCUCUAGUAAAAUGGACAGGAUUGAAUAAUGGAUCAAACUAGCAAACUAGUACAUUAGAUCCUAACUAUUGCAGCUCAUGCAUUUAGAAUAUUUCUACUGUUCUCAUGGAUCAAGAGGUUGUGUUCGUGCGUCGUGUCAUGCUAAGUCAGACUAUUACUCAAAAUUUACCAAACUAAUCUGAAAUAUUACAGAGCUAUAUGAUAUGAUAACAGGCUAUUUCAUGUGAAGUUUGGCGAACCGUUUUAGUGUCAUGUCAGGUUUGAGUUGUGCUGUCUUGCCUAGUUCAGGAUCCUUUUUCAUAUUUAAACCACUUCCAUAUCACUAUGAUUUUGAUGCGAUGCGAUCACCCUCGCAUAAGGCUACACUAACUAAAGUUAUACACCCUUGGCUCUUGAAUUCCAACUCUCCAAUGCAUGCUUAGCAGGUAAAUUUCUAGAGAGAAAAAGUCGGACGGAAAUGUUCUUCUUUCCUAAGUCUCCUAUCAGGUUUGCUUAGAGUCCCUGUUUACUGCAGGGAAUCUAGCAGACUAGCACUAUAUAGAUUGAAUUGUAUCCAAUAGAAAGCCAGAUAUCAAUAUAUGAUAGUGUAAGACUCCAUUUUAACCCUGCAAUGUAACUAUGUAAGCGGAUCAAUGGCAGUUGUUUCUACACUUAACUAUUUGAUAAUUUCAAUGAUGUGUUGCAUCAAGACAAGGAAUUAUGCUUGGCAUUUCUUACUUAGGCAUGGAUGUAUCAUGUAUGUGAUACUGUUUGUUUUUCUUAUAUAGUAAUAGCGGGUUAAAUUGGAGAUGAAUCUGAGGGAUGUAACUGCAAGUUAUAAACACAGAAUUUAAUUGCACAUGAACACCAUUUUACAUGUACUCAUUUAGUUAGCCCCAUCAACAGGAGGUUCACUUACUUAUAAGUUACAAGCCAACCACAGACACAAGUACACAACAACAAACUUAUUCAUUCGAUACAACGAAAAUCACCAUUUUUACGUUUCAUGACAGAUUGUAGCACCUUUCAAGCAGAAGAGAUGUCAAUACUCUUAACCUCAGGUUUCUUCUCUUCCACCUUUGGAACAGUCACAGUGAGCACUCCAUUCUCUAAGUCGGCCUUAACUUCAUCUAUCUUCGUGUUUUCAGGUAGCCUGAAGCGGCGAAGGAACUUCCCACUGCUCCUCUCAAUGCGGUGCCACUUGUCGUUUUUCUCCUCUUGCUCCUUGCUUCUUUCUCCACUUAUCUGCAGAAUUCUGCCUUCUUCAACCUCGACUUUCACUUCUUCCUUCUUCAGUCCAGGAAGAUCAACUUUGAAGACAUGGCUUUCUGGUGUCUCCUUCCAAUCAACCCUUGUGGUUGCAAAUUGAGACACCUCACGAGCCGAGGCGGGUGCAUUGGCAAGGGUUGAUGUUAAAAUGCCAUGAAAUGGAUCCCAAGUGUCUAAGGAAAAUGGAUCAAAGACAUUGGUUUUUCGGCUACCGAAGAAGCUUGGGAUGAGUGACAUCUUUGGAGGAUGGUUUUAAGCUGAGCACUGGUGAUUAAGGAUUAGUGAUUGAGUUAUAUGGAUAGAAUGCUUUGGUAUUUUCUGUGUUGUUGAUAGAACUGAAACUGCAUUGCAUUUAUAUAGAGACGCAGUAAGAUUAUCUCGGAC
Molecule: RNA transcript, 3434 nt
Organism: Beta vulgaris subsp. vulgaris (sugar beet)
Lineage: Eukaryota; Viridiplantae; Streptophyta; Magnoliopsida; Caryophyllales; Amaranthaceae
Exons: 14
Source: RefSeq, a predicted model, not a curated record